RNAcentral lists this long non-coding RNA (533 nucleotides) under Setaria italica (foxtail millet). Its description in RNAcentral is "long non-coding RNA (SITA_LNC000443)". The record is from RNAcentral. Lineage: Eukaryota; Viridiplantae; Streptophyta; Magnoliopsida; Poales; Poaceae.
GCUUUUGCUUGCGGGUGCCCAGUUCGCAGAUCGCUGUUGAUAAUUAAUGGAGCGCAGUCCGCGCCGGCGGCCGAAGCCGGCGGCGAUCGACAUCACCUGGGUGUCGUGCCGCGGCGUCAGGUCGUCGCUCCCGUUCCACACGCCCUGCCUCUACGUGUCCGUCUUCGUCGCCCCGUCGUCCGCCAGGGGCGUCCACGGCCACCGCCGGCCACACCGCGUCAAGACGCCCACGGACCGCGCCGGCGGCGUGAACCCCGAGUGGGACGCGCCCCUGCGGCUCUACCUCCCCGACGCCUCUUCGCCACCGGCUGACGAGGCGGAGCUGGCGGCGGGCAAGAACAGCAAGAAGGGCGACGGAGACGACGACGUCCUGCUGCUGCGGUUCGAGAUCAAGGCGGAGGUGGCCGUCCUCGGGGACAAGCUCACCGCGUCCGCCGCGGUGCCGGUCCCGGGCCUCGUCGCCGACGGGUGCACGCGCCGCGUGUCGUACCAGCUUGCGGGACCCGACGGCAGGCAGCCCAACGGCGUCAUCU